GACGAACGCUGGCGGCGUGCCUAAUACAUGCAAGUCGACCUUCGUGGCGAACGGGUGAGUAACACGUGGGUAACCUGCCCCUCAGAAGGGGAUAACACUUGGCAACAGGUGCUAAUACCGUAUACUGCUGGAUGUACCCGAGGUGCAUUAGCUAGUUGGUGAGGUAACGGCUCACCAAGGCCACGAUGCAUAGCCGACCUGAGAGGGUGAGCGGCCACAUUGAGACUGAGACACGGCCCAAACUCCUACGAGAGGCAGCAGUGGGGAAUAUUGGACAAUGGGCGAAAGCCUGAUCCAGCCAUGCCGCGUGUGUGAAGAAGGUCUUCGGAUUGUAAAGCACUUUAAGUUGGGAGGCGUUACCAACAGAAUAAGCACCGGCUAACUUCGUGCCAGCAGCCGCGGUAAUAC
RNAcentral lists this ribosomal RNA (408 nucleotides) under uncultured bacterium. Its description in RNAcentral is "partial 16S ribosomal RNA". It matches the Rfam family "Bacterial small subunit ribosomal RNA", at positions 28 to 526 of the family's 1533-position model. The record is from RNAcentral.